CUGAGAGGUGGUGCAUGGCCGUCGUCAGUUCGUACUGUGAAGCAUCCUGUUAAGUCAGGCACGAGCGAGACCCACGUCCACAGUUGCCAGCAUACCCCUCCGGGGUGAUGGGUACACUGUGGAGACCGCCGCUGCUAAAGCGGAGGAAGGAGUGGGCAACGGUAGGUCAGUAUGCCCCGAAUCUCCCGGGCUACACGCGGGCUACAAUGGUUGGUACAAUGGGCAUCUACCCCGAAAGGGGAAGGAAAUCUCUUAAAGCCAAUCGUAGUUCGGAUUGAGGGCUGCAACUCGCCCUCAUGAAGCUGGAAUCCGUAGUAAUCGCGUUUCAACAGAACGCGGUGAAUACGUCCCUGCUCCUU
Molecule: ribosomal RNA, 359 nt
Filed under: uncultured Methanosaeta sp.
Lineage: Archaea; Methanobacteriati; Methanobacteriota; Methanomicrobia; Methanotrichales; Methanotrichaceae
Description: bacterial SSU rRNA
Rfam family: Archaeal small subunit ribosomal RNA
Source: RNAcentral